Molecule: transfer RNA, 82 nt
Filed under: Nematostella vectensis (starlet sea anemone)
Lineage: Eukaryota; Metazoa; Cnidaria; Anthozoa; Actiniaria; Edwardsiidae
Rfam family: tRNA
About the family: Transfer RNA (tRNA) molecules are approximately 80 nucleotides in length. Their secondary structure includes four short double-helical elements and three loops (D, anti-codon, and T loops). Further hydrogen bonds mediate the characteristic L-shaped molecular structure. tRNAs have two regions of fundamental functional importance: the anti-codon, which is responsible for specific mRNA codon recognition, and the 3' end, to which the tRNAs corresponding amino acid is attached (by aminoacyl-tRNA synthetases). tRNAs cope with the degeneracy of the genetic code in two manners: having more than one tRNA (with a specific anti-codon) for a particular amino acid; and 'wobble' base-pairing, i.e. permitting non-standard base-pairing at the 3rd anti-codon position.
Source: Rfam by way of RNAcentral
ACCAGGAUGGCCGAGUGGUUAAGGCGUGGACUUAAGUUCCAAUGUACGAAUGUACGCGUGGGUUCAAACCCCACUCCUGGUA